Molecule: ribosomal RNA, 258 nt
Filed under: uncultured bacterium
Lineage: Bacteria
Description: partial 16S ribosomal RNA
Rfam family: Bacterial small subunit ribosomal RNA
Source: RNAcentral
UACGGGGGGGGGCAAGCGUUGUUCGGAAUUACUGGGCGUAAAGGGCUCGUAGGUGGCCAACUAAGUCAGACGUGAAAUCCCUCGGCUUAACCGGGGAACUGCGUCUGAUACUGGACGGCUUGAGUUUGGGAGAGGGACGCGGAAUUCCAGGUGUAGCGGUGAAAUGCGCAGAAUAUCAGGAGGACACCGGUGGCGAAGGGCGGGAUCUCUGGGCCGAUGCUGACGCUGGAGGAGCGAAAAGCGUGGGGAGCGAACAGG